GGGGAUUUAGCUCAGUGGUAAAGCACUUGCCUAGCAAGCACAAGGCCCUGGGUUCGGUUCCCAGCUCCG
This 69-nucleotide transfer RNA is filed under the name Rattus norvegicus (Norway rat). It matches the Rfam family "tRNA". From Rfam's summary of the family: Transfer RNA (tRNA) molecules are approximately 80 nucleotides in length. Their secondary structure includes four short double-helical elements and three loops (D, anti-codon, and T loops). Further hydrogen bonds mediate the characteristic L-shaped molecular structure. tRNAs have two regions of fundamental functional importance: the anti-codon, which is responsible for specific mRNA codon recognition, and the 3' end, to which the tRNAs corresponding amino acid is attached (by aminoacyl-tRNA synthetases). tRNAs cope with the degeneracy of the genetic code in two manners: having more than one tRNA (with a specific anti-codon) for a particular amino acid; and 'wobble' base-pairing, i.e. permitting non-standard base-pairing at the 3rd anti-codon position. The record is from Rfam by way of RNAcentral. Lineage: Eukaryota; Metazoa; Chordata; Mammalia; Rodentia; Muridae.